UAAGGAAUAUUGGACAAUGGGUGGAAGCCUGAUCCAGCCAUGCCGCGUGCAGGAAGAAGGUCCUAUGGAUUGUAAACUGCUUUUGCAGGGGAGAAAUAAGGGGAAUGCGUUCCCCGAUGAUAGUACCUUGCGAAUAAGCAUCGGCUAACUUCGUGCCAGCAGCCGCGGUAAGACGAAGGAUGCGAGCGUUAUCCGGAUUCACUGGGUUUAAAGGGUGCGUAGGCGGGGCUGUAAGUCACAGGUUAAAAACCGGUGCUUAACAUCGGGAGUGCCUGUGAUACUGCAGUUCUUGAGAGAGUCAGAAGUUGCUGGAAUAUGGCAAGUAGAGGUGAAAUUCAUAGAUAUGCCAUAGAACACCGAAAGCGAAGGCAGGCAACUAUGACUGCUCUGACGCUGAGGCACGAAAGCGUGGGGAUCAAACAGGAUUAGAUACCCUGGUAGUCCACGCUGUAAACGAUGAUGACUUGUUGUUUGGGGCGAAAGCCCUGAGUGACAAAGCGAAAGCGAUAAGUCAUCCACCUGGGGAGUACGCCGGCAACGGUG
Molecule: ribosomal RNA, 543 nt
Filed under: uncultured bacterium
Lineage: Bacteria
Description: bacterial SSU rRNA
Rfam family: Bacterial small subunit ribosomal RNA
Source: RNAcentral